GUAUAGUGAAGUGGGCUUGUGUUAUAUAGAUGGGAUCUCUCUCUUUAUUUAAAAGUCAAUUAGAGAUCUUGAUGCUACUUCUGUCCCUUUCCAAGUGAUUUUACGUCGACCAACUAGCUUUUUUCAUAUGAGUGUAUAUAUUCAUGUACCUAUCUCUCUCAAUUGCUUCUCACCAAAAUCAUCUUGCUGAUUCAUUUGCUGUCUGAAUCCUCUUGCUUUCCUCUUUGCUUUUUCAUUUGUUGAUUUAAACCAUGGGAGUUCCCAACUUUAGACCUCGAAACCGAUAAGGAUCUUUCUCUGCGGUUGAAAUAGCUAGGUUCUCGAUGAAUAGGCUAGCC
Molecule: unclassified non-coding RNA, 338 nt
Filed under: Arabidopsis thaliana (thale cress)
Lineage: Eukaryota; Viridiplantae; Streptophyta; Magnoliopsida; Brassicales; Brassicaceae
Description: partial MIR172e microRNA precursor transcript form 2
Source: RNAcentral